RNAcentral lists this ribosomal RNA (402 nucleotides) under Bacteroidota bacterium. Its description in RNAcentral is "Bacteroidetes bacterium partial 16S ribosomal RNA". It matches the Rfam family "Bacterial small subunit ribosomal RNA", at positions 355 to 776 of the family's 1533-position model. The record is from RNAcentral. Lineage: Bacteria; Pseudomonadati; Bacteroidota.
UGGGGAAUUUUGCACAAUGGGGGAAACCCUGAUGCAGCGACGCCGCGUGAUUUAGAAGGCCUUCGGGUUGUAAAAAUCUUUUCUAUGGGAAGAAAAUGACAGUACCAUAGGAAUAAGGACCGGCUAAUUACGUGCCAGCAGCCGCGGUAAUACGUAAGGUCCGAGCGUUGUCCGGAAUCAUUGGGCGUAAAGGGUACGUAGGCGGGUAAGCAAGUUAGAAGUGAAAUCCUGUAGCUCAACUACAGUAAGCUUUUAAAACUGCUCAUCUUGAGAUAUGGAAGGGAAAGUGGAAUUCCUAGUGUAGCGGUGAAAUGCGCAGAUAUUAGGAGGAAUACCGGUGGCGAAGGCGACUUUCUGGCCAUAACCUGACGCUGAGGUACGAAAGCGUGGGUAGCAAACAGG